Molecule: ribosomal RNA, 497 nt
Filed under: uncultured bacterium
Lineage: Bacteria
Description: partial 16S ribosomal RNA
Rfam family: Bacterial small subunit ribosomal RNA
Source: RNAcentral
GAUGAACGCUGGCGGCGUGCCUAAUACAUGCAAGUCGAGCGAACAGACGAGGAGCUUACUCCUCUGACGUUAGCGGCGGACGGGUGAGUAACACGUGGAUAACCUACCUAUAAGACUGGGAUAACUUCGGGAAACCGGAGCUAAUACCGGAUAACAUGUUGAACCGCAUGGUUCAACAGUGAAAGACGGUCUUGCUGUCACUUAUAGAUGGAUCCGCGUCGCAUUAGCUAGUUGGUAAGGUAACGGCUUACCAAGGCAACGAUGCGUAGCCGACCUGAGAGGGUGAUCGGCCACACUGGAACUGAGACACGGUCCAGACUCCUACGAGAGGCAGCAGUAGGGAAUCUUCCGCAAUGGGCGAAAGCCUGACGGAGCAACGCCGCGUGAGUGAAGAAGGUCUUCGGAUCGUAAAACUCUGUUAUUAGGGAAGAACAAAUGUGUAAGUAACUAUGCACGUCUUGACGGUACCUAAUCAGAAAGCCACGGCUAACUACGUG